RNAcentral lists this ribosomal RNA (433 nucleotides) under uncultured bacterium. Its description in RNAcentral is "partial 16S ribosomal RNA". It matches the Rfam family "Bacterial small subunit ribosomal RNA", at positions 29 to 507 of the family's 1533-position model. The record is from RNAcentral.
AACGAACGCUGGCGGCAUGCCUAACACAUGCAAGUCGAACGAGACCUUCGGGUCUAGUGGCGCACGGGUGCGUAACGCGUGGGAACCUGCCCUUAGGUUCGGAAUAACUCCCCGACAGGGGUGCUAAUACCGGAUAAUGUCUUCGGCCCAAAGAUUUAUCGCCUUUGGAUGGGCCCGCGUUGGAUUAGCUGGUUGGUAGGGUAAAAGCCUACCAAGGCGACGAUCCAUAGCUGGUCUGAGAGGAUGAUCAGCCACACUGGGACUGAGACACGGCCCAGACUCCUACGGGAGGCAGCAGUGGGGAAUAUUGGACAAUGGGCGAAAGCCUGAUCCAGCAAUGCCGCGUGAGUGAUGAAGGCCUUAGGGUUGUAAAGCUCUUUUACCCGGGAUGAUAAUGACAGUACCGGGAGAAUAAGCUCCGGCUAACUCCGUG